AAGAAAAUAGUCUAAUAUAAGACAUGGGGCUUGAACCCUCAGGAUGGACUUUUAUUUAAGUUCUUUUUUUG
This 71-nucleotide transfer RNA is filed under the name Halocynthia roretzi. RNAcentral's name for it is "tRNA-Ser". The record is from RNAcentral. Lineage: Eukaryota; Metazoa; Chordata; Ascidiacea; Stolidobranchia; Pyuridae.